RNAcentral lists this ribosomal RNA (253 nucleotides) under uncultured bacterium. RNAcentral's name for it is "partial 16S ribosomal RNA". It matches the Rfam family "Bacterial small subunit ribosomal RNA", at positions 524 to 776 of the family's 1533-position model. The record is from RNAcentral.
UACGGAGGGUGCAAGCGUUAUCCGGAUUCACUGGGCUUAAAGGGUGCGUAGGCGGCUUGUUAAGUAGGGUGUGAAAGCCCCCAGCUCAACCGGGGAACUGCACUCUAUACUGGCGAGCUGGAGUGAGAUAGGGGUGUGUGGAACUGCCAGUGGAGCGGUGAAAUGUGUUGAUAUUGGCAGGAACGCCGGUGGCGAAAGCGACACACUGGGUCUCAACUGACGCUGAGGCACGAAAGCCAGGGGAGCGAACGGG